GAUAGAGGUUGCGGAAACGAUGAGUAUUCCACGGUAUACGCCGGCAAGCGGCUGUGGAAGAAAGGCAAUUCCGCCGAAGCGCAGAACGGUUGCCGCCGCUUUGUACGCUGGGACUUCGCUGAACAAGCGUUGGACUGUCACAUGUAUGUGGAGAGCUAUCG
This 161-nucleotide non-coding RNA is filed under the name human gut metagenome. RNAcentral's name for it is "Lysine riboswitch". It matches the Rfam family "Lysine riboswitch aptamer". Rfam says of the family: Riboswitches are metabolite binding domains within certain messenger RNAs that serve as precision sensors for their corresponding targets. Allosteric rearrangement of mRNA structure is mediated by ligand binding, and this results in modulation of gene expression. The record is from RNAcentral.